UACAGAGGUCUCAAGCGUUGUUCGGAUUCAUUGGGCGUAAAGGGUGCGUAGGCGGCGCGGUAAGGCGGGUGUGAAAUCUCGGGGCUUAACUCCGAAACUGCAUUCGAUACUGCCGUGCUUGAGGACUGGAGAGGAGACUGGAAUUUACGGUGUAGCGGUGAAAUGCGUAGAUAUCGUAAGGAAGACCAGUGGCGAAGGCGGGUCUCUGGACAGUUCCUGACGCUGAGGCACGAAGGUCAGGGGAGCAAACGGG
RNAcentral lists this ribosomal RNA (253 nucleotides) under uncultured bacterium. RNAcentral's name for it is "partial 16S ribosomal RNA". It matches the Rfam family "Bacterial small subunit ribosomal RNA", at positions 524 to 776 of the family's 1533-position model. The record is from RNAcentral.